This 440-nucleotide ribosomal RNA is filed under the name uncultured bacterium. Its description in RNAcentral is "partial 16S ribosomal RNA". It matches the Rfam family "Bacterial small subunit ribosomal RNA", at positions 338 to 795 of the family's 1533-position model. The record is from RNAcentral.
CCUACGGGGGGCAGCAGUGGGGAAUAUUGCACAAUGGGGGAAACCCUGAUGCAGCGACGCCGCGUGAGUGAAGAAGUAUUUCGGUACGUAAAGCUCUAUCAGCAGGGAAGAAAAUGACGGUACCUGACUAAGAAGCCCCGGCUAACUACGUGCCAGCAGCCGCGGUAAUACGUAAGGGGCAAGCGUUAUCCGGAUUUACUGGGUGUAAAGGGAGCGUAGACGGCAGCGCAAGUCUGGAGUGAAAUCCCAUGGCUUAACCGUGGAACUGCUUUGGAAACUGUGCAGCUAGAGUGCAGGAGAGGUAAGCGGAAUUCCUAGUGUAGCGGUGAAAUGCGUAGAUAUUAGGAGGAACACCAGUGGCGAAGGCGGCUUACUGGACUGUAACUGACGUUGAGGCUCGAAAGCGUGGGGAGCAAACAGGAUUAGAUACCCCUGUAGUC